UGGGGAAUAUUGGACAAUGGGCGAAAGCCUGAUCCAGCAAUGCCGCGUGAGUGAAGAAGGCCUUCGGGUUGUAAAGCUCUUUUACCCGGGAUGAUAAUGACAGUACCGGGAGAAUAAGCUCCGGCUAACUCCGUGCCAGCAGCCGCGGUAAUACGGAGGGAGCUAGCGUUGUUCGGAAUUACUGGGCGUAAAGCGUACGUAGGCGGCCAAUCCAGUCAGAUGUGAAAGCCCAGGGCUCAACCCUGGAAUUGCCUUUGAAACUAGUUGGCUUGAAGAUGGGAGAGGUGAGUGGAAUUCCGAGUGUAGAGGUGAAAUUCGUAGAUAUUCGGAAGAACACCAGUGGCGAAGGCGGCUCACUGGACCAUUCUUGACGCUGAGGUACGAAAGCGUGGGGAGCAAACA
This 402-nucleotide ribosomal RNA is filed under the name uncultured Pseudomonadota bacterium. RNAcentral describes it as "bacterial SSU rRNA". It matches the Rfam family "Bacterial small subunit ribosomal RNA", at positions 355 to 774 of the family's 1533-position model. Lineage: Bacteria; Pseudomonadati; Pseudomonadota. The record is from RNAcentral.